GUUCNCCGCCAUUAAAGACCUAGUAAUAGGUAUGCUUUAGGAGGGGCUUGCGCCAUAUUAGUUAGUUGGUAGGGUAACGGCCUACCAAGACGAUGAUGUGUAGCUGGACUGAGAGGUUGAACAGCCACAUUGGGACUGAGACACGGCCCAAACUCCUACGGGAGGCAGCAGUAGGGAAUUUUCGGCAAUGGAGGAAACUCUGACCGAGCAACGCCGCGUGAAUGAUGAAGUACUUCGGUAUGUAAAAUUCUUUUAUCAAGGAAGAAAAGCAAGUGGUGAACCAUUUGUUUGCCGGUACUUGAUGAAUAAGCCCCGGCUAAUUAUGUGCCAGCAGCCGCGGUAAGACAUAAGGGGCGAGUGUUAUCCGGAAUUAUUGGGCGUAAAGGGUGCGUAGGCGGUAUAGUAAGUCAGUGGUGUAAUGGCAACGCUUAACGUUGUCCGGCUAUUGAAACUGCUACACUUGAGUUAGAUAGAGGCGAGUGGAAUUCCAUGUGUAGCGGUAAAAUGCGUAAAUAUAUGGAGGAACACCAGAGGCGUAGGCGGCUCGCUGGGUCUUAACUGACGCUGAGGCACGAAAGCGUGGGGAGCAAACAGGAUUAGAUACCCUGGUAGUCCACGCCGUAAACGAUGAGUACUAAGUGUCGGGUUAAACCGGUACUGAAGUUAACACAUUAAGUACUCCGCCUGAGUAGUACGUACGCAAGUAUGAAACUUAAAGGAAUUGACGGGACUCCGCACAAGCGGUGGAUCAUGUUGUUUAAUUCGAAGAUACCCGAAAAACCUUACCAGGUCUUGACAUGUUUUUGCGAAACAGUAGUAAUAUUGUGGAGGUUAUCAGAAACACAGGUGGUGCAUGGUUGUCGUCAGCUCGUGUCGUGAGAUGUUAGGUUAAGUCCUAAAACGAGCGAAACCCUUAUCGUUAGUUGCCAGCACGUUAUGGUGGGGGCUUUAACGAGACUGCCAAUGAUAAAUUUGGAGGAAGGUGAGGAUCACGUCAAAUCAGCAUGCCCCUUAUGACCUGGGCUACAAACGUGAUACAAUGGCUGUUACAAAGGGUAGCUGAAACGUAAGUUUUUGGCCAAUCCCCAAAAACAGUCCCAGUCCGGAUUGAAGUCUGCAACUCGACUUCAUGAAGUCGAAUCAGCUAGUAAUCUGCAUAAAAUU
Molecule: ribosomal RNA, 1164 nt
Filed under: Calendula stunt phytoplasma
Lineage: Bacteria; Bacillati; Mycoplasmatota; Mollicutes; Acholeplasmatales; Acholeplasmataceae
Description: bacterial SSU rRNA
Rfam family: Bacterial small subunit ribosomal RNA
Source: RNAcentral